UUAAUGAGAGUUUGAUCCUGGCUCAGGACGAACGCUGGCGGCGUGCCUAAUACAUGCAAGUAGAACGCUGAUGUUUGGUGUUUACACUAGACUGAUGAGUUGCGAACGGGUGAGUAACGCGUAGGUAACCUGCCUCAUAGCGGGGGAUAACUAUUGGAAACGAUAGCUAAUACCGCAUAAGAGUGAUUAACACAUGUUAGUUAUUUAAAAGGAGCAAUUGCUUCACUGUGAGAUGGACCUGCGUUGUAUUAGCUAGUUGGUGAGGUAAAGGCUCACCAAGGCGACGAUACAUAGCCGACCUGAGAGGGUGAUCGGCCACACUGGGACUGAGACACGGCCCAGACUCCUACGGGAGGCAGCAGUAGGGAAUCUUCGGCAAUGGACGGAAGUCUGACCGAGCAACGCC
This 406-nucleotide ribosomal RNA is filed under the name Streptococcus agalactiae. RNAcentral describes it as "bacterial SSU rRNA". It matches the Rfam family "Bacterial small subunit ribosomal RNA", at positions 1 to 398 of the family's 1533-position model. The record is from RNAcentral. Lineage: Bacteria; Bacillati; Bacillota; Bacilli; Lactobacillales; Streptococcaceae.